AUUGAACGCUGGCGGCAGGCCUAACACAUGCAAGUCGAGCGGAGCGGCGGACGGGCGAGUAAGGCCUAGGAAUCUGCCUGGUAGUGGGGGAUAACGUCCGGAAACGGGCGCUAAUACCGCAUACUCUCAGAUGAGCCUAGUUCGGAUUAGCUAGUUGGUGGGGAAAAGGCCUACCAAGGCGACGAUCCGUAACUGGUCGUAGAGGAUGAUCAGCCACACUGGGACUGAGACACGGUCCAGACUCCUACGGGAGGCAGCAGGGGGGAAUAUUGGACAAUGGGCGAAAGCCUGAUCCAGCCAUGCCGCGUGUGUGAAGAAGGUCUUCGGGUUUUAAAGCACUUUCAGUUGGGAGGCGUUACCAACAGAAUAAGCACCGGCUAACUUCGUGCCAGCAGCCGCGGUAAUAC
Molecule: ribosomal RNA, 407 nt
Filed under: uncultured bacterium
Lineage: Bacteria
Description: partial 16S ribosomal RNA
Rfam family: Bacterial small subunit ribosomal RNA
Source: RNAcentral